AGAAUCAACGCUGGCGGCGUGCCUAACACAUGCAAGUCGCACGAGAAAGGGUAGCAAUACCUGAGUAAAGUGGCGCACGGGUGAGUAACACGUGAAUUAUCUACCUCCGAGUGGGGAAUAACUGAGAGAAAUCUUAGCUAAUACCGCAUAACACUUACGAGUCAAAGCAGCAAUGCGCUUGGAGAGGAGUUCGCGGCCGAUUAGUUAGUUGGCGGGGUAAUGGCCCACCAAGACGAUGAUCGGUAUCCGGCCUGAGAGGGCGCACGGACACACUGGAACUGAAACACGGUCCAGACUCCUACGGGAGGCAGCAGUGGGGAAUUUUGCGCAAUGGGGGAAACCCUGACGCAGCAACGCCGCGUGGAGGAUGAAAUAUCUUGGUAUGUAAACUCCUUUCGAUGGGGAAGAUUAUGACGGUACCCAUAGAAGAAGCCCCGGCUAACUUCGCGCCAGCAGCCGC
RNAcentral lists this ribosomal RNA (460 nucleotides) under uncultured bacterium. Its description in RNAcentral is "SSU rRNA". It matches the Rfam family "Bacterial small subunit ribosomal RNA", at positions 26 to 518 of the family's 1533-position model. The record is from RNAcentral.